GACGAACGCUGGCGGCGUGCUUAACACAUGCAAGUCGAACGGAAAGGCCCUGCUUGCAGGGUACUCGAGUGGCGAACGGGUGAGUAACACGUGGGUGAUCUGCCCUGCACUUCGGGAUAAGCCUGGUAAACUGGGUCUAAUACCGGAUAGGAGCCAUUUUUAGUGUGAUGGUUGGAAAGUUUUUUCGGUGUAGGAUGAGCUCGCGGCCUAUCAGCUUGUUGGUGGGGUAAUGGCCUACCAAGGCGGCGACGGGUAGCCGGCCUGAGAGGGUGGACGGCCACAUUGAGACUGAGAUACGGCCGAGACUCCUACGGGAGGCAGCAGUGGGGAAUAUUGCACAAUGGGCGCAAGCCUGAUGCAGCGACGCCGCGUGGGGGAUGACGGCCUUCGGGUUGUAAACUCCUUUCGCUAGGGACGAAGCUUUUUGUGACGGUACCUAGAUAAGAAGCACCGGCUAACUACGUG
Molecule: ribosomal RNA, 465 nt
Filed under: uncultured bacterium
Lineage: Bacteria
Description: partial 16S ribosomal RNA
Rfam family: Bacterial small subunit ribosomal RNA
Source: RNAcentral